AGUGAACGCUGGCGGUAGGCCUAACACAUGCAAGUCGAACGGCAGCACAGUAAGAGCUUGCUCUUACGGGUGGCGAGUGGCGGACGGGUGAGGAAUACAUCGGAAUCUACUUUUUCGUGGGGGAUAACGUGGGGAAACUUACGCUAAUACCGCAUACGACCUACGGGUGAAAGCAGGGGAUCUUCGGACCUUGCGCGAUUGAAUGAGCCGAUGUCGGAUUAGCUAGUUGGCGGGGUAAAGGCCCACCAAGGCGACGAUCCGUAGCUGGUCUGAGAGGAUGAUCAGCCACACUGGAACUGAGACACGGUCCAGACUCCUACGGGAGGCAGCAGUGGGUAAUAUUGGACAAUGGGCGCAAGCCUGAUCCAGCCAUACCGCGUGGGUGAAGAAGGCCUUCGGGUUGUAAAGCCCUUUUGUUGGGAAAGAAAAGCAGCAGGUUAAUACCCCGCUGUUCUGACGGUACCCAAAGAAUAAGCACCGGCUAACUUCGUG
Molecule: ribosomal RNA, 492 nt
Filed under: uncultured bacterium
Lineage: Bacteria
Description: partial 16S ribosomal RNA
Rfam family: Bacterial small subunit ribosomal RNA
Source: RNAcentral